AUCACCACCCUGAGCUGCCGUAUGUGCUACCUGCCAACAUACUAGUAUAUCUAUGGAGGCAUUAUAAUAAUUUUGAUCGGUUCUUGAAGAUGGUCUUGUGCAAACAAUUGUAUUUUCAAGCCUUGAAACUUGUUUAACAACAUUUAAAUCUAUCCUGAACAACUUUGUUUCCUGACUUCAUCUGAACUGGAUCAAAAAGUACUAAGAAGUUUCAAAAGCACAAGAUUGUCAAAAUCGGGCCAGUUUGCAGAAUUCUGAAAUGCGAGGAUGCAACUAGAUAGGAAAAAAAGGAGGCGAUUGGAUAUUUUCUUAAUAACCUUUGUGAAAAGUAUGAGGGAAAAAG
Long non-coding RNA from Anneissia japonica, 343 nucleotides. RefSeq lists it as uncharacterized. The transcript has 3 exons. The record is from RefSeq and is a predicted model, not a curated record. Lineage: Eukaryota; Metazoa; Echinodermata; Crinoidea; Comatulida; Comatulidae.